This 2070-nucleotide long non-coding RNA is filed under the name Olea europaea (common olive). RNAcentral describes it as "long non-coding RNA (OEUR_LNC005500)". Lineage: Eukaryota; Viridiplantae; Streptophyta; Magnoliopsida; Lamiales; Oleaceae. The record is from RNAcentral.
CUUUCCAAUGCAUUUUGAAUCAUCUCAAUCGGAUAUCGGAAAAGAAAAUUAUGAUGAAAAUACUGACGAUUGCUCAGCUGUCGCUAGCUACUCGCUCGAGCGACAAUUGUAUCCAGCCAAACCCUAGGUCGCGAUUUGAAGAUUCCAAGGCACAAUUCGUUGGUGAAUCCAUCAAAUUCAUUUUUGUGAUCCAACAACCAAGUUUUGGAAAAAACAUUACAUCUUUGUAAUCCAAAACACCUGGCUUCCUUAAUUCAUGGAGGAAGAGACUCUCUCAUUGGGAAUUGAGAGAUGUGAACUUCAAGCAUAGGAAAAGAACCAGAACAGGAAGUUCUUGGGAAUUUAACUUGAAAGAAGCAAUCAGUUUAAGAUCAGGAGACUGGAAAAGAUGACAGAUCUUAUGGGUUGCAGAGGUAGAUCGGGAAGUCUAGUGGAGUGGCUAGACAGUAUCUACGACAGUAUAUCGUGAGAUUGGAAGAUUGACAACGAGUCUUAGAGAUUGUAGAAAUUACUAUAGCUGAAACUAGAGAGAGUAGCUAGACUGAAAUCACACUGUAAUCCUAAUUGACUAUAGUGGAGGUAACUGAAAAGGUCCAGGAGUUUUUCUCACGUUGGGUUUCUCUAUCAACAGAUCUUGUGUUUUUACUACUUUCUAUAUUAUUAUUGCGGUAUUUAAACUUAAGAAAAUUGGAUUGUAUAUUUAAUCAUCUAGAAACUAAUUAAAAGUGAUUUGUUGUUUUAAUUAGUUAAUUCCGCACGUAAGGUCGAAUUAAUAAAUUAUCUAGAAUGUAAACUUUAUAAUUUUAAAAGUUGAAAUUAUGUGUAGCGUCCCAGACUCGAAGUUCAAUGUGCAAUUAUAAGGUGAAGGCUCACUUUUAUGCUAAUAAUUUCAUUUCUUAUGAUAUUGAAAGAGAGAAUACAUUUUAAGAUACUGAAGACAUAUUUAAGCCUUGUUUGAGUCCCAUUCUUUUGGAAAAAUAUAUUUUUCAACAAUGUUUUGACAUCAUUCCAAUCACAUAUUCUUUAAUAAAAUAAUAUUACACGUAAAUCCAAAAUUUUUUCUUAUUUUUUAACCACACAUUUUCCAUCAAUACACUAUUCAAAAAUUCAUUCUUCCCAAAAAAAUGGGGCUCAAACAAGGGUUUAGUGUUUUGUACUGGACAUGAUUGGAAAUUUAUAUCAAACUUGUCUUGAAUUUAUAAUGCAGUGUUUUCUUUCUAAUGGAAAUUUGAAUAUAAUCAAACAGAGAAGACAAAAGAAAAGGGGUUAAACCAUCUUCUAAUUUCCUACUUACAAAUUAGCUUUUAAGAGACCUGAGUGGAAGAAUAAUAAAUUUCCUCUUUAAUCCUUGAAUUAUAUUAGAGCUGCUUAUGAAACUUUAUGGGAGUAGGCACUUGUGACUGUCAUUUCUUGGGAAAGUUUAAGUAUAGGAAUCUUGUCAUCUUAUCUUAAUUUAAAAUUUCUUAAAACUACGAUUGGGGAAUGAAUUGUGACAUUUUAAUAUCAUGGGAUAUAACCAUUUAUUUCGAACAGUUUUUCUAUUUGCAUAGAAAUGAUUUCACAUAAACAAUACAGAAUACUCGCAUAGAGGUAGAUCACACAUGAAUAAAAUAGUGGAAAAAAACCUCUCCUCUGUACACACAACACUGUUCUCUCUCGAAAGGGAUAAAUUUAUUUUCAUAAUUUUUGACCGAUAUGCAUACUAAUAAUUUCACUUCUUAUCCUAGUUAUUUGUUAAACUUGUAUUAAUCCAGUGAUUUCUUUUUUAAAGAGAUGCACAAAAUUACUUCAUAUCGAAAUCUCAUCUGAUGCUCCUAAUUAAUCAUACUUCCUAUCCUAAAGAAAAAUGUAGAGGUUCUAAGAAAGGUAAGUCAACUUGACUGCUAUUAUUUAUUUUCCAUUUUUCUAAAUAUUUAAAAUGCUUUCUCAAAGAAUUUUACCUAAUAAUGUAGCAAAGAAACAACAUCACAAAAUGAAAACUCGGAGACAAAAGAUAGCCACCUAAUUUGACAAACUUCAUUUCCAUAAGCCCUUUUGAGCUUUAUUUCUCAAAAAAUUAUUUUCAANNNN